This 429-nucleotide ribosomal RNA is filed under the name Verrucomicrobiota bacterium. RNAcentral describes it as "Verrucomicrobia bacterium partial 16S ribosomal RNA". It matches the Rfam family "Bacterial small subunit ribosomal RNA", at positions 355 to 776 of the family's 1533-position model. Lineage: Bacteria; Pseudomonadati; Verrucomicrobiota. The record is from RNAcentral.
UGGGGAAUCUUCCGCAAUGGGCGAAAGCCUGACGGAGCAACGCCGCGUGAGUGAAGACGGCCUUCGGGUUGUAAAACUCUGUGAUUCGGGACGAAAGAUAAGUAGACGAAUAAUCUGCAUAAGCGACGGUACCGAAAAAGCAAGCCACGGCUAACUACGUGCCAGCAGCCGCGGUAAUACGUAGGUGGCAAGCGUUGUCCGGAAUUCUUGGGCGUAAAGCGCGCGCACGCGGCUACUUAAGUCCAUCUUAAAAGUGCGGGGCUUAACCCCGUGAUGGGAUGGAAACUGAGAAGCUGGAGUGUCGGAGAAGAAAGUGGAAUUCCUAGUGGAGCGGUGAAAAGCGUAGAGAUUAGGAAGAACACCGGUGGCGAAGGCGACUUUCUGGACGACAACUGACGCUUAGGCGCGAAAGCGUGGGGAGCAAACAGG